GAAAUGCGAUACUUGGUGUGAAUUGCAGAAUCCCGUGAACCAUCGAGUCUUUGAACGCAAAUGGCGCUCGGUUAAACAAUACCCGAGCAUGUUUGUUUCAGUGUGUACGGAAUCAUAUAUCUAAAUGCGAUUGAAUUUAAUUAUUCUCUCGUUAAACAUGAAAGCGCUGAAUUGUUCAGUGCCGAUCGAAGUAGUCACUUCUUAGCAAGUGAUCUCGAUUGUGCAUAACUGGAGAUUCACUUAAAGCGUCUUUUUAAAAUAUUUAUUAUUCUCCACUCCACACCUGAAAUCAAGCAAGAUCACCCGCUGAACUUAA
Molecule: unclassified non-coding RNA, 316 nt
Filed under: uncultured fungus
Lineage: Eukaryota; Fungi
Description: sequence contains ITS1
Rfam family: 5.8S ribosomal RNA (bases 1-106)
Source: RNAcentral